Molecule: non-coding RNA, 754 nt
Organism: Cinara cedri
Lineage: Eukaryota; Metazoa; Arthropoda; Insecta; Hemiptera; Aphididae
Source: the annotation of a GenBank genome assembly
AUUAAUUUUUAAAUUUUUAUUAAAACUAAAAUGGUUAUACUUUAUCAUCACUUUUUUUCUUUUCUAUAUUUACAUACACCAUGUUAAAAAAUAAUAUAAAAUUUGAACAAAUAAUAAAAUAUUUUCUUAUUUCACAAUUUAAAAAUUAAACUCAACAUAUUACUUAACUAAUGAAAAAUAUUUUGUGUUGGCAUUUAUUUCUAAUAUUACAAAAAUAAAUUGUAAUUGUUUAAUCACACAUUCCUGAAUUUUAAAAUAUAACAUAACUUACCCAGUAUAACAUAACAGAUGAACAUUAGUUUUAUAAAGUAUUUAUUUAUAAGAUUCAUUGUAAAUAGAUUUAUUGAUUUAGUAGAUCUCAAUGCUUCUUUUACAAAAAAUAUAAUUAUAAUUCUUAUUAAACAAUUUGCACUGAACUUGAGUGUAAUUUAAAAAAUAUUUAACAUUAAAUGCUAAUUGACAACACCUAUAGUUCACAUAAUUAUUAUACAUCUAUAAACUAAACAUUUAUAAACCUGGUAGAAAUAUAAAAUUACCUCUAUAAAAAUAUAAAUUUAUAUAUACAUAUAUUUUUAUUGGAAUAAUAAUAGUUAAUCUUUAAAAGUAAUAUAAAACAAUUUAAUUAAUCCCUGCCAUCUGAUAGGUUCUUACUAUUCCUAGUAUAACAAACAUUGAAUAUUCUGUUGAAUAUUUCAUAAUUGAAACUUACCUAAUAUGUAGGUUGUAUACUUAUAAUCAUAUUUUAAGAAUCAAU